This 313-nucleotide unclassified non-coding RNA is filed under the name Hevea brasiliensis (rubber tree). The record is from RNAcentral. Lineage: Eukaryota; Viridiplantae; Streptophyta; Magnoliopsida; Malpighiales; Euphorbiaceae.
GGGGAUUGCUGAGAAGUAAUCAAAGUGGGUUAGGGGGGAUUACUAUUCCCCCCCUCUCUCUCCUCACCAUCAAAGUUAUGUUCUUGUGAGCUGAAUUCACAGAAAUUGGCCCCUCAAAGGAGUGAAAUUGAAUUGAUCAGGGAACGCAGCUAUGGAGGCUAAUGCCGGCCUGGUCGCCGGCUCUCACAAUAGGAAUGAAUUUGUGAAGAUUCGGCAUGAGGGGGAAGCAGGGCCCAAGCCCCUGAACAAUAUGCAUGGGCAAGUGUGCCAGAUCUGUGGUGAUACUGCGCUUACAGAUCUGGCACACUUGCCC